UACGGAGGGAGCUAGCGUUGUUCGGAAUUACUGGGCGUAAAGCGCACGUAGGUGGCUAUUCAAGUCAGAGGUGAAAGCCCGGGGCUCAACUCCGGAACUGCCUUUGAAACUAGGUAGCUAGAAUCUUGGAGAGGCGAGUGGAAUUCCGAGUGUAGAGGUGAAAUUCGUAGAUAUUCGGAAGAACACCAGUAGCGAAGGCGACUCGCUGGACAAGUAUUGACGCUGAGGUGCGAAAGCGUGGGGAGCAAACAGG
RNAcentral lists this ribosomal RNA (253 nucleotides) under uncultured bacterium. RNAcentral describes it as "partial 16S ribosomal RNA". It matches the Rfam family "Bacterial small subunit ribosomal RNA", at positions 524 to 776 of the family's 1533-position model. The record is from RNAcentral.